GAUGAACGCUGGCGGCGUGCCUAAUACAUGCAAGUAGAACGCUGAAGGAAGGAGCUUGCUCUUUCCGGAUGAGUUGCGAACGGGUGAGUAACGCGUAGGUAACCUGCCUGGUAGCGGGGGAUAACUAUUGGAAACGAUAGCUAAUACCGCAUGACAGUAGAUGUUGCAUGACAACUAUUUGAAAGGGGCAAUUGCUCCACUACCAGAUGGACCUGCGUUGUAUUAGCUAGUUGGUGAGGUAACGGCUCACCAAGGCGACGAUACAUAGCCGACCUGAGAGGGUGAUCGGCCACACUGGGACUGAGACACGGCCCAGACUCCUACGGGAGGCAGCAGUAGGGAAUCUUCGGCAAUGGACGGAAGUCUGACCGAGCAACGCCGCGUGAGUGAAGAAGGUUUUCGGAUCGUAAAGCUCUGUUGUAAGAGAAGAACGAGUGUGAGAGUGGAAAGUUCACACUGUGACGGUAUCUUACCAGAAAGGGACGGCUAACUACGUG
RNAcentral lists this ribosomal RNA (497 nucleotides) under uncultured bacterium. Its description in RNAcentral is "partial 16S ribosomal RNA". It matches the Rfam family "Bacterial small subunit ribosomal RNA", at positions 28 to 507 of the family's 1533-position model. The record is from RNAcentral.